GCCCCCAUGGUGUAAUGGACAGCACGAAAGCUUGCGGAGCUUUUGGUCAGGGUUCAAUUCCCUGUGGGGGCG
Molecule: transfer RNA, 72 nt
Filed under: archaeon
Lineage: Archaea
Also listed under: 1 other name
Description: tRNA-Arg
Rfam family: tRNA
About the family: Transfer RNA (tRNA) molecules are approximately 80 nucleotides in length. Their secondary structure includes four short double-helical elements and three loops (D, anti-codon, and T loops).
Source: RNAcentral